Long non-coding RNA from Pygocentrus nattereri (red-bellied piranha), 494 nucleotides. RefSeq lists it as uncharacterized. The record is from RefSeq and is a predicted model, not a curated record. The transcript is spliced from 3 exons. Lineage: Eukaryota; Metazoa; Chordata; Actinopteri; Characiformes; Serrasalmidae.
UGCUCCAGUGAAAAAAAUCCAGUGAAUACCUAUACGUCUUAUUCAGCCUAAAACUCCUGAAAAAAAAAGUCUGGCCAAAAAUCUGAAAAAAGUUAUAUAAGUGUCUAAAUCUAAAAAUUAAUAAAUCUUUCAGUAACAAUGAAAACAGGAAACGCUGAUUCCCGUUUGUUCCCUUCAAAACUACUGAGCUGCUUAGCGGAGACACAUUCAGUGUUACUGUGAGGGACAUCAGACAAGUAACUUAUAAGCUCAAGUAUCAAGAGAGGAAACAACAGACAAGAACUUCUCCAUUACAGAGUAGAGACAGAUGGACAUCCAGUUUGUGAGCAUCUUCUCCACCACCGUCUCAGUCCUGCAGUAACCAACAUGGAGAAAAUGCUGUGGCAUUAAAUUCUACUCAGAAUUUGAGGGAUGGGGAUCUGGAGCCUAACCCAGCAGUCAAUCGGCAGAAGGCAGAAAACACCAGGGAACUCAACGCAGUCCCUGACAUGGAU